GAUGAACGCUGGCGGCGUGCUUAACACAUGCAAGUCGAACGGGAAUUAUUUUAUUGACACUUCGGUCGAUUUAAUUUACUUCUAGUGGCGGACGGGUGAGUAACGCGUGGGUAACCUGCCUUAUACAGGGGGAUAACAGUCAGAAAUGGCUGCUAAUACCGCAUAAGCGCACAGAGCUGCAUGGCUCAGUGUGAAAAACUCCGGUGGUAUAAGAUGGACCCGCGUUGGAUUAGCUUGUUGGCAGGGUAACGGCCUACCAAGGCGACGAUCCAUAGCCGGCCUGAGAGGGUGAACGGCCACAUUGGGACUGAGACACGGCCCAGACUCCUACGGGAGGCAGCAGUGGGGAAUAUUGCACAAUGGGGGAAACCCUGAUGCAGCGACGCCGCGUGAAGGAAGAAGUAUCUCGGUAUGUAAACUUCUAUCAGCAGGGAAGAUAGUGACGGUACCUGACGAAGAAGCCCCGGCUAACUACGUG
This 478-nucleotide ribosomal RNA is filed under the name uncultured bacterium. RNAcentral's name for it is "partial 16S ribosomal RNA". It matches the Rfam family "Bacterial small subunit ribosomal RNA", at positions 28 to 507 of the family's 1533-position model. The record is from RNAcentral.